UGAUUUUAAAUGUACACAUUACACCACCAUUGUUAAUUAUUGAUUUAUGAAAAGAAGAAUAAAACAUGAUCUCAUUAAAGUAAAGAAAUAUCCAAUCCAUUACCUUUACAAUACAUGCACACAUACUCAUAUGUAUUAUUAGCAUCACAUUUAAACUGAAGAAAUUAAUGAAUUUCCAUUUGUUUUAAUUAUUGGUAAAUUUCAAUUUAUUUACUGCACUUAACAUCUUGAGAAAGAAACACAGUCUAAUCAAUUGAAAAGCCUUUUUCAUGGUAUCAAUAUCACUUGAUACUUGAACAAGAAAUAAUAAAACCUAUUAAAUCAAAGUUUUAUCCAACAUUUGACCUUUCCAUGGCUCUUAUCAAAUAUCUGCUGUAUUGAUAUUUA
Non-coding RNA from Biomphalaria pfeifferi, 387 nucleotides. The record is from the annotation of a GenBank genome assembly. NCBI's taxonomy places the organism in Eukaryota, Metazoa, Mollusca, Gastropoda, Planorbidae.